This 154-nucleotide ribosomal RNA is filed under the name Sarcodon aff. imbricatus VPC-2007. RNAcentral's name for it is "5.8S ribosomal RNA". It matches the Rfam family "5.8S ribosomal RNA". Rfam says of the family: 5.8S ribosomal RNA (5.8S rRNA) is a component of the large subunit of the eukaryotic ribosome. It is transcribed by RNA polymerase I as part of the 45S precursor that also contains 18S and 28S rRNA. Functionally, it is thought that 5.8S rRNA may be involved in ribosome translocation. Lineage: Eukaryota; Fungi; Basidiomycota; Agaricomycetes; Thelephorales; Thelephoraceae. The record is from RNAcentral.
ACUUUCAGCAACGGAUCUCUUGGCUCUCGCANCGANGAAGAACGCAGCGAAAUGCGAUAAGUAAUGUGAAUNGCAGAAUUCAGUGAAUCAUCGAAUCUUUGAACGCACCUUGCGCUCCUUGGUAUUCCGAGGAGCAUGCCUGUUUGAGUGUCAU